UAGGGAAUAUUGCUUAAUGGGCGAAAGCCUGAAGCAGCAACGCCGCGUGUGCGAUGAAGGCCUUCGGGUUGUAAAGCACUUUUUGAGGGGAUGAGGAAGGACAGUACCCUCAGAAUAAGUCUCGGCUAACUACGUGCCAGCAGCCGCGGUAAAACGUAGGAGGCGAGCGUUAUCCGGAUUUACUGGGCGUAAAGCGCGUGCAGGCGGCUCGAAAAGUUGGAUGUGAAAGCUCCUGGCUUAACUGGGAGAGGUCGUUCAAUACUUUCGGGCUUGAGGAUGGGAGAGGGCGGUGGAAUUCCGGGUGUAGUGGUGAAAUGCGUAGAUAUCCGGAGGAACACCAGUGGCGAAGGCGGCCUCCUGGCCCAUUUCUGACGCUCAGACGCGAAAGCUAGGGUAGCAAACG
Molecule: ribosomal RNA, 403 nt
Filed under: uncultured bacterium
Lineage: Bacteria
Description: bacterial SSU rRNA
Rfam family: Bacterial small subunit ribosomal RNA
Source: RNAcentral